UGUUAUCUGAGAUAACAUCUGCCAGCUCCUUCAGAACUCUGAUAUAUAAUUGGUUGGGUCCCAGCGAUUUAUAUUUGUCAAGGUUGGAUAGGUGUUCUCUUACCAUUUUUUUUUCUUAUUUUAAUUUUUGUUGCCUGUUUUUUCCUUGCCAUCUUCUCUCUUUACAGUUUGCAAGUAACUCAAAGGAACAGUUAUUCUAGCUAUUAAUUAAAAAAUAAAUGUCAGCAUAUAUAGUGGUCUGAUGAAAUAAAGUGACAAAAAUCUUCAUAGGUAUUUAAUUGAAAGACAAGAAAAUAUUGCUUUCUUUUUCAUUAGUAUAUUGUACAUAAUAUGAAGAAUAUGCAUAACAUUUACUUACUUCAACACAAUGACAAGCAGUCCAAAAAAGAUCUUCCUGGACAAGAUCACAACUGAUCUGGGUCAGUUUAAAGACUCUUGAAGUCUAUGUCUAUGGAGAUUCUCAGCCAUCCAGGUUACAGUUAUCUCAAAGGUGCUUUUUUCAUGAGGCAGCUGGACUUGUGAUGAGAAGCAAGAAAUCUUCAAAGAAAAACAAGAAAAUCCAGUUGCUUCUUUCAAAAAGCACCUUUGAGACUACUAGAGUCCAUGUGCUCUUAGGCAGGAAUGCCCUGUAUUUACUAUCCUUUUCUUAGAGUGUAGUAUAGGGCACCAUGAAAAUGUUUUGAAAGGGGGUAUAUUCCCUAAACUAGUCCAUCAAUAUUCUUAUAUUUGCAUUUUGGACAUCUGAAACGUCUAACUGACUGAAUAAAAUAAGCCCACAAAAAAAGACCCCUCAGAAGUCAUUUUCAUCAAAUGGGGAAUCUUACUUUACACCUUGCAUUCCCAUUGUGAAGUAGAGCUUGACGUCAACAUGUGCUGGAUGAUAGCUGGCAAUGAUAUAUGAGGGAAAGCAUUGUUUCCAUUGUACCAUUUUUGGACAUUUCUGCUGGCAUGAAGAAAUUCUCUCAAUCCAUAUGUUAGGUCAUUGUUAUACAUAACAACUGAAAGUGAGCUCAGUGUGACAACCAAAUUAGUAUGAACAUAGUAGAUUGAAGCAACUAAAAAAGACAUGCGCUAGAAAGGACCUGCACACUCACACUCACACAUACAUAUACACAUGUCUACUCUGAAGAGACAUGCAGCACUAGGACAUUUUGAUGUGUAUUUUUUACUAUAGCAAAAUCUCAAUUUCCAAAUCCGGUAAUUAUAUUUUUUUUAACUCAAGAGUGGGGAGUUUUGUCACAUCUCAGAUGUUCCUGAAUUAAUUCCUAAGCUCUCUCUCAAGAUGGCCAGCCAAAGUUCCUGGGAGUUUGAAGUUCAGCAACAUCUGGAGCACUGCUACACACCAGAACAUCAAAACAUCUAGAUAGCAGGAUUACUUAUUUGGGGAUCAACAGAAUACAAGUGUUAUACCAACAGCUCUACUUUGUUCAUUCAGAAUCACCAUCAUGGAUAUGUCAUAGUUAUGCUGUUCAUGAAAAUGAAGCAAAGAUGAAGAAAAUGGGUGAGAGUACUUAUGCACUUCUGCUUCCAGCUGUCAUCAAGCAUAAAACAUAACAUUUUCCUUCUCUUCUGUUUUUCCUUAAAUGAUGGAAUAUACUCAGAGCGCACAGAAAGCUGAUCCCAAACCUAUUUUUCAAGCUGUUUCCCCCCCUCUUCUUAACCUAACAGGUGAUAUGUCUUUGGUGUCCAUAUGCCAUUGCUUCAGGCAAAAAAGAAAAAAAAAAGUUGUAAAUUUCUCCUUCAUUCUCAAUCGACAUUGCUCCAGCUACCAAAUGAAAAUGCUUCAAUGGCUAGACAGAUUGCUAAUGUUGCCAAUCCUAAAAAGAAAAGAAAGAAAAGGAAGAAAAAAACAUUCCCAGGACAGGAUCAAGUGAGCAUUCUCUCACUGUGAAGGCUUGCAAUGACUCCAACAAACAAUAAUUUAACCUUCAUCUCAGGCUACAAACAAAUUAAAGGACUCUCAAAAAGAGUCACCCUAAGAAAAGACAGUUCAGAAUUAACUCAAAAGAGAAGGAUCACCACAAAGAUGUAUAUAGACCAAAUGACUCCAGGUAAAUGUUAGUUCUUUGAGAUAGUCUAGACAAGAAGUACAAAUCAUGAAUACUAAAACUACACUUAUUGUAAGACUCUUGCAAGUCUGAAAGCAUUUCUCUCCUCCUUUAUUUUUAAUUUUCAGAAAACUAGGGAAGGUCCCUUCUGAAAAUUUUCCCAUGCUCCUUUUUUUUCGGUGGGCUAAGAUAUCUUUUGCAUGAUGGUUGUUUAGCCUGUGACACUUCCUCCUCCCUCCCAAGGUCAUUCCCACAUGCCAUUACACUAAGCCAAUCACAGGCCCUCCCGGCUCCGAAAAUUGGGCCACGCCCAAAUUCUCACCUGCUGCUCUCUGCUGGGGCCGAGGGACCUGGGAAGGCUCC
Molecule: long non-coding RNA, 2411 nt
Organism: Crotalus tigris (Tiger rattlesnake)
Lineage: Eukaryota; Metazoa; Chordata; Lepidosauria; Squamata; Viperidae
Exons: 3
Source: RefSeq, a predicted model, not a curated record